UCCUGGUUAGCUUAGUCGGUAGAGCGCUCCACUGGAAAUGGAGAGGCCCCUGGUUCGAUACCAGGACCAGGGA
Molecule: transfer RNA, 73 nt
Filed under: Ixodes scapularis (black-legged tick)
Lineage: Eukaryota; Metazoa; Arthropoda; Arachnida; Ixodida; Ixodidae
Description: tRNA-Ser
Rfam family: tRNA
About the family: Transfer RNA (tRNA) molecules are approximately 80 nucleotides in length. Their secondary structure includes four short double-helical elements and three loops (D, anti-codon, and T loops).
Source: RNAcentral